RNAcentral lists this ribosomal RNA (459 nucleotides) under uncultured bacterium. Its description in RNAcentral is "partial 16S ribosomal RNA". It matches the Rfam family "Bacterial small subunit ribosomal RNA", at positions 338 to 795 of the family's 1533-position model. The record is from RNAcentral.
CCUACGGGUGGCUGCAGUGAGGAAUAUUGGUCAAUGGCCGGAAGGCUGAACCAGCCAAGCCGCGUGAAGGACGAAGGUGCCAAGCAUUGUAAACUUCUUUUGUCAAGGGACAAAAUCAGGCUCGAGAGCCUGACCGAGGGUACGUGAAGAAAAAGCAUCGGCUAACUCGGUGCAAGCAGCCGCGGUAAUACGGAGGAUGCGGGCGUUAUCCGGAUUUAGUGGGGUAAAGGGGUGCGUAGGCGGGGUGUUAGGUCAGCGGUAAAGGCCCGGGGCUAAACCCCGGCGAGCCGUUGAAACUGGCUGUCUUGAGAUGUGGAGAGGUAUGCGGAAUGCGCAGUGUAGCGGUGAAAUGCUUAGAUAUUAGGAGGAACACCAGUGGCGAAGGCGGCUUACUGGACUGUAACUGACGUUGAGGCUCGAAAGCGUGGGGAGCAAACAGGAUUAGAUACCCUAGUAGUC